This 254-nucleotide ribosomal RNA is filed under the name uncultured bacterium. RNAcentral's name for it is "partial 16S ribosomal RNA". It matches the Rfam family "Bacterial small subunit ribosomal RNA", at positions 524 to 776 of the family's 1533-position model. The record is from RNAcentral.
UACGUAGGGUGCGAGCGUUUAAUCGGAAUUACUGGGCGUAAAGCGUGCGUAGGUGGUUUGUUAAGUCUGAUGUGAAAGCCCUGGGCUCAACCUGGGAAUUGCAUUGGAUACUGGCAGGCUAGAGUGCGGUAGAGGGUAGUGGAAUUCCCGGUGUAGCAGUGAAAUGCGUAGAGAUCGGGAGGAACAUCUGUGGCGAAGGCGACUACCUGGACCAGCACUGACACUGAGGCACGAAAGCGUGGGGAGCAAACAGG